GGGGCUGUGGCUCGUGAUAGAGCAACUGCUUGGUAUGCAGAAGGUCUCAUGUUCAAUCCCUGGCAUCUCCA
Molecule: transfer RNA, 71 nt
Filed under: Sphaerodactylus townsendi
Lineage: Eukaryota; Metazoa; Chordata; Lepidosauria; Squamata; Sphaerodactylidae
Description: tRNA-Thr
Rfam family: tRNA
About the family: Transfer RNA (tRNA) molecules are approximately 80 nucleotides in length. Their secondary structure includes four short double-helical elements and three loops (D, anti-codon, and T loops).
Source: RNAcentral